GAGGGUGUAGCUCAGCCUGGUAGAGCAGCGGACUUUUAAUCCGUCGGUCCCGAGUUCGAAUCUCGGCACCCUCA
Molecule: transfer RNA, 74 nt
Filed under: Phycisphaerae bacterium
Lineage: Bacteria; Pseudomonadati; Planctomycetota; Phycisphaerae
Description: tRNA-Lys
Rfam family: tRNA
About the family: Transfer RNA (tRNA) molecules are approximately 80 nucleotides in length. Their secondary structure includes four short double-helical elements and three loops (D, anti-codon, and T loops).
Source: RNAcentral